This 253-nucleotide ribosomal RNA is filed under the name uncultured bacterium. Its description in RNAcentral is "partial 16S ribosomal RNA". It matches the Rfam family "Bacterial small subunit ribosomal RNA", at positions 524 to 776 of the family's 1533-position model. The record is from RNAcentral.
GACGAACCGUGCGAACGUUGUUCGGAAUCACUGGGCUUAAAGGGCGCGUAGGCGGCGGAUCAAGUCCGGGGUGAAAGCCCCCAGCUCAACUGGGGAAGUGCCUUGGAUACUGAUUCGCUCGAGGGAGGUAGGGGUCGCGGGAACUUCCGGUGGAGCGGUGAAAUGCGUUGAGAUGUGGAGGAACACCAGUGGCGAAGGCGACUCUUUGGCCUGUAACUGACACUGAGGCGCGAAAGCGUGGGGAGCAAACAGG